GUGGGGAAUAUUGGACAAUGGGCGCAAGCCUGAUCCAGCCAUGCCGCGUGAGUGAUGAAGGCCUUAGGGUUGUAAAGCUCUUUCGUCAGGGAAGAUAAUGACGGUACCUGAAGAAGAAGCCCCGGCUAACUUCGUGCCAGCAGCCGCGGUAAUACGAAGGGGGCUAGCGUUACUCGGAAUCACUGGGCGUAAAGCGCACGUAGGCGGCUUUCUAAGUCAGGGGUGAAAUCCUGGAGCUCAACUCCAGAACUGCCUUUGAUACUGGAGAGCUUGAGUUCGGGAGAGGUGAGUGGAACUGCGAGUGUAGAGGUGAAAUUCGUAGAUAUUCGCAAGAACACCAGUGGCGAAGGCGGCUCACUGGCCCGAUACUGACGCUGAGGUGCGAAAGCGUGGGGAGCAAACAGGAUUAGAUACCCCAGUAGUCC
This 425-nucleotide ribosomal RNA is filed under the name uncultured bacterium. Its description in RNAcentral is "partial 16S ribosomal RNA". It matches the Rfam family "Bacterial small subunit ribosomal RNA", at positions 354 to 796 of the family's 1533-position model. The record is from RNAcentral.